GAUGAACGCUGGCGGCGUGCCUAAUACAUGCAAGUCGAGCGAACGGACGAGAAGCUUGCUUCUCUGAUGUUAGCGGCGGACGGGUGAGUAACACGUGGAUAACCUACCUAUAAGACUGGGAUAACUUCGGGAAACCGGAGCUAAUACCGGAUAAUAUUUUGAACCGCAUGGUUCAAAAGUGAAAGACGGUCUUGCUGUCACUUAUAGAUGGAUCCGCGCUGCAUUAGCUAGUUGGUAAGGUAACGGCUUACCAAGGCAACGAUGCAUAGCCGACCUGAGAGGGUGAUCGGCCACACUGGAACUGAGACACGGUCCAGACUCCUACGGGAGGCAGCAGUAGGGAAUCUUCCGCAAUGGGCGAAAGCCUGACGGAGCAACGCCGCGUGAGUGAUGAAGGUCUUCGGAUCGUAAAACUCUGUUAUUAGGGAAGAACAUAUGUGUAAGUAACUGUGCACAUCUUGACGGUACCUAAUCAGAAAGCCACGGCUAACUACGUGCCAGCAGCCGCGGUAAUACGUAGGUGGCAAGCGUUAUCCGGAAUUAUUGGGCGUAAAGCGCGCGUAGGCGGUUUUUUAAGUCUGAUGUGAAAGCCCACGGCUCAACCGUGGAGGGUCAUUGGAAACUGGAAAACUUGAGUGCAGAAGAGGAAAGUGGAAUUCCAUGUGUAGCGGUGAAAUGCGCAGAGAUAUGGAGGAACACCAGUGGCGAAGGCGACUUUCUGGUCUGUAACUGACGCUGAUGUGCGAAAGCGUGGGGAUCAAACAGGAUUAGAUACCCUGGUAGUCCACGCCGUAAACGAUGAGUGCUAAGUGUUAGGGGGUUUCCGCCCCUUAGUGCUGCAGCUAACGCAUUAAGCACUCCGCCUGGGGAGUACGACCGCAAGGUUGAAACUCAAAGGAAUUGACGGGGACCCGCACAAGCGGUGGAGCAUGUGGUUUAAUUCGAAGCAACGCGAAGAACCUUACCAAAUCUUGACAUCCUUUGACAACUCUAGAGAUAGAGCCUUCCCCUUCGGGGGACAAAGUGACAGGUGGUGCAUGGUUGUCGUCAGCUCGUGUCGUGAGAUGUUGGGUUAAGUCCCGCAACGAGCGCAACCCUUAAGCUUAGUUGCUGUCAUUAAGUUGGGCACUCUAAGUUGACUGCCGGUGACAAACCGGAGGAAGGUGGGGAUGACGUCAAGUCAUCAUGCCCCUUAUGAUUUGGGCUACACACGUGCUACAAUGGACAAUACAAAGGGCAGCGAAACCGCGAGGUCAAGCAAAUCCCAUAAAGUUGUUCUCAGUUCGGAUUGUAGUCUGCAACUCGACUACAUGAAGCUGGAAUCGCUAGUAAUCGUAGAUCAGCAUGCUACGGUGAAUACGUUCCCGGGUCU
RNAcentral lists this ribosomal RNA (1372 nucleotides) under uncultured bacterium. Its description in RNAcentral is "bacterial SSU rRNA". It matches the Rfam family "Bacterial small subunit ribosomal RNA", at positions 28 to 1381 of the family's 1533-position model. The record is from RNAcentral.